CCUACGGGUGGCUGCAGUGGGGGAUAUUGCACAAUGGUGGAAACACCGAUGCAGCGACGCCGCGUGAGUGAAGAAGUUUUUCGGUAUGUAAAGCCCUAUCAGCCGGGAAGCAAAUGACAGUACCUGACCAAGAAGCACCGGCUAACUACGUGCCAGCAGCCGCGGUACUACGUAGGGGGCCAGCGUUAUCCGGAUUUACUGGGUGUAAAGGGAGCGUAGGCGGCAGUGCAAGUCAGAAGUGAAAGCCCAAGGCUCAAACAUGGGACUGCUUUUGAAACUGUACCGCUAGAUUGCAGGAGAGGUAAGUGGAAUUCGUGGUGUAGCGGUGAAAUGCGUAGAUAUUAGGAGGAACACCAGUGGCGAAGGCGGCUUACUGGACUGUAAAUGACGCUGAGGCUCGAAAGCGUGGGGAGCAAACAGGAUUAGAUACCCUGGUAGUC
RNAcentral lists this ribosomal RNA (440 nucleotides) under uncultured bacterium. RNAcentral's name for it is "partial 16S ribosomal RNA". It matches the Rfam family "Bacterial small subunit ribosomal RNA", at positions 338 to 795 of the family's 1533-position model. The record is from RNAcentral.